Non-coding RNA from Pelobates cultripes (western spadefoot toad), 330 nucleotides. NCBI's taxonomy places the organism in Eukaryota, Metazoa, Chordata, Amphibia, Anura, Pelobatidae. The record is from the annotation of a GenBank genome assembly.
UUGCAGUCCUGAUGCAUGAAGAAAUGCUCAACUCCUGAUGCAUGGAGAAAAGGCCUUCACAAGCCUCUGCUAAUGUGUACCUAGUUUAUACUAAGUGACAAACAGGUUGAGGAGGCGGUGACCUGGUGUAGGUGGAAGCAGCGUUGGAGGAGGAGGAUGAGGUAGCCAAUAUCAACUUUCAAUGCCAGAGUCUGUGCCUACCAUGGUGACCACAGGUAUCGGGGAAUCAGGGUUCCAAUCCGUACAGGGACCCUGAGAAAUGGCUACCACAUGCAAGGAAGGCAGCAGGUGCGCAAAUGACCCACUCCUGACGCAGGAAGGUAGUGACGA